RNAcentral lists this signal recognition particle RNA (297 nucleotides) under Saimiri boliviensis boliviensis (Bolivian squirrel monkey). RNAcentral describes it as "Metazoan signal recognition particle RNA (ENSSBOG00000001748.1)". It matches the Rfam family "Metazoan signal recognition particle RNA". Rfam says of the family: The signal recognition particle (SRP) is a universally conserved ribonucleoprotein. It is involved in the co-translational targeting of proteins to membranes. Lineage: Eukaryota; Metazoa; Chordata; Mammalia; Primates; Cebidae. The record is from RNAcentral.
ACUGGGUGUGGUGGCGAGUGCCUGUUGUCCCAGCUACUCGGGAGGCGGAGGUGGGAGGAUCACUUGAGCCCAGGAGUUCUGGACUGUAGUGUGCCAUGCUGAUCAGGUAUUUGCAAUAUUCUGGGCAUCAAACGGUGACCUCCUGGGAGCAUGGACUACCAGGGUGCCUAAGGAGGGGUGAAUUGGCUCAGGUCAGACAUGGAACAGGUGAAAACUCCCCCACUAAUCAGUAGAGGGAUCACGCCUGUGCAUAGUCACUGCAUACCAGCCUAGGCAGCAUAGCAAGACCCCAUCUCU